GGAAGUAAAAGUCGUAACAAGAUUUCCGUAGGUGAACCUGCGGAAGGAUCAUUAAAAGAUUUAGCAUAUUCUUCUGAAUAUACUUCAUUAACCCAUUCCGAGUACCUUACCCGUUGCUUCCGCGAGGCUGUCCUCACGGCCCUUUGAAGAUCUAUCUUUGGAGAGUCCUUGCGGGAGGUAUACAAUAAACUCUUGUAUUACCAUGUCAUCUGUCUGAAUCUGUUUAAAACAAAUAUUAAAACUUUCAACAACGGAUCUCUUGGUUCUC
RNAcentral lists this unclassified non-coding RNA (268 nucleotides) under plant metagenome. RNAcentral describes it as "partial contains small subunit ribosomal RNA, internal transcribed spacer 1, and 5.8S ribosomal RNA". The stretch from base 1 to 54 matches the Rfam family "Eukaryotic small subunit ribosomal RNA", at positions 1778 to 1831 of the family's 1831-position model. The record is from RNAcentral.